This 756-nucleotide ribosomal RNA is filed under the name Alteromonas sp. Its description in RNAcentral is "bacterial SSU rRNA". It matches the Rfam family "Bacterial small subunit ribosomal RNA", at positions 32 to 788 of the family's 1533-position model. The record is from RNAcentral. Lineage: Bacteria; Pseudomonadati; Pseudomonadota; Gammaproteobacteria; Alteromonadales; Alteromonadaceae.
GGCCUUGGCGGCAGCCUACACAUGCAGUCGAACGGUAACAUUUCUAGCUUGCUAGAAGAUGACGAGUGGCGGACGGGUGAGUAAUGCUUGGGAACUUGCCUUUGCGAGGGGGAUAACAGUUGGAAACGACUGCUAAUACCGCAUAAUGUCUUCGGACCAAACGGGGCUUCGGCUCCGGCGCAAAGAGAGGCCCAAGUGAGAUUAGCUAGUUGGUAAGGUAACGGCUUACCAAGGCGACGAUCUCUAGCUGUUCUGAGAGGAAGAUCAGCCACACUGGGACUGAGACACGGCCCAGACUCCUACGGGAGGCAGCAGUGGGGAAUAUUGCACAAUGGGGGAAACCCUGAUGCAGCCAUGCCGCGUGUGUGAAGAAGGCCUUCGGGUUGUAAAGCACUUUCAGUUGUGAGGAAAAGUUAGUAGUUAAUACCUGCUAGCCGUGACGUUAACAACAGAAGAAGCACCGGCUAACUCCGUGCCAGCAGCCGCGGUAAUACGGAGGGUGCGAGCGUUAAUCGGAAUUACUGGGCGUAAAGCGCACGCAGGCGGUUUGUUAAGCUAGAUGUGAAAGCCCCGGGCUCAACCUGGGAUGGUCAUUUAGAACUGGCAGACUAGAGUCUUGGAGAGGGGAGUGGAAUUCCAGGUGUAGCGGUGAAAUGCGUAGAUAUCUGGAGGAACAUCAGUGGCGAAGGCGACUCCCUGGCCAAAGACUGACGCUCAUGUGCGAAAGUGUGGGUAGCGAACAGGAUUAGAUACCCC